UACCAGCACCCCGAGUGGUCGGGACGAUUAUUGGGCCUAAAGCAUCCGUAGCCGGUUCUUCAAGUCUUCCGUUAAAUCCAGCCGCUCAACGGAUGGGCCGCGGAGGAUACUAUAGGACUAGGAGGCGGGAGAGGCAAGCGGUACUCAGUGGGUAGGGGUAAAAUCCUUUGAUCCAUUGAAGACCACCAGUGGCGAAGGCGGCUUGCCAGAACGCGCUCGACGGUGAGGGAUGAAAGCUGGGGGAGCAAACCGG
Molecule: ribosomal RNA, 253 nt
Filed under: uncultured bacterium
Lineage: Bacteria
Description: partial 16S ribosomal RNA
Rfam family: Archaeal small subunit ribosomal RNA
Source: RNAcentral